GGGUCCCGUCGCCGUCCGUGUCCCCUUGUCCCAACGUUCCUCGCUCCAGAGAGUUUUCAAAUGCACGCGCGCUUGAUCCCCAAAUCUACCGUACCAGACCUGGACGAGCGCCGCCACCUGCUCUCGCUGGGCGCGGCGACCGGCCGACGACCGCUGCACGUCUCGAUCCAGGGCUUCGUCAUCUGCUCCCACUGGACCUUGCGUCCGCCGGCGGCUGCACCUCAGAGGUCGGCUUUGGUCUGCCAGCGCCAUCCUGCGUCACGAUGGACCCAACGAAUCAGCGGUCCUCAGGAGCAGGGCGCCGCAGCUCCGUCGCGGCUACCAUGGGACGUGGUGGUGCAUGCGUCCAUGGUCAGCAGCAUGUGCCGGCACCUACGUCACUCCGUUCGCCCUCUUUACCUGAGUUGCAACAAGCACAAUCUGCAAUGCCACCAAAUCCCUCAUGGAACUUUUAUCCACCAAAUGGUUUUCUGAAUCUCAUUAACCAACCGUACAUGCCAAUGUCGUCGCAACCACUUGGAGAGAAUUUCCACUUUGUUGGUCUCACCCAGAAUUUCAACACAUCUCCACCACCGCCACCAAGUGCUAAAAGGACUAAAAAAGCAUCCAGACUUGCUAAAGAAACUAUUCAGAUUGGUGGUGAUGGUGAUGCAGCAACUGAGGAAUCUAAGGCAGUCAAUAAAAGGUAUUGGGCACAUGACGAGGAAGUGAGGCUGGCUAGUUCUUGGUUGAACUGUUCUCAUGAUCCAAUACAUGGCAAUGACAAGAAAGGAGAAACUUUCUGGAAGGAAAUUGCAGAAUACUUUAACAAGCAUGCUCCAGCAGAUCGUCAAAGGGACGUCAAUCAAUUAAAGAUACACUGGACACGGUUGAAGACAGUGACCAACAAUUUCAAUGGGUGUUGGAGCGCAGUAUCAAAAAUGCAUACAAGUGGGUACUCUGAUGAUCAGUUAAUGGAUGAGGCACAAAAGAUGUAUGCAAAUGGUAGUAACGGCAAACCUUUCACGUUAGUUCAUUGGUGGAAAGCUCUCAGAAAUGAACCUAAAUUUUGUGCACAAAUCUCACAGAUGAUUAAGGAAAAAGGUCAGAGCCAUACCAUUGACAUCACUAAAGACAAAGAUCAGCUUCCCUUACAACGUCCUAUAGGAAGAGAUGCAGCCAAGGCUCAAAGGAAUGGUAAGCGCAAGGCAGAAGAGGUUUUGGAUGGUAUUGCUCGCCUUGGUGAUAGCAUAAACAAAAUUAUUGAAGUGCAACAUGACCGUAAGCAAGAGCGUAAAAAGGUGGCUGAAACUCAACUAGAAAUCUCAAGGUUACAACUCAAAGCUGCACAGGAGCAGAAGGAGGUAAAAUUGCUUGAAGUAUAUAGCUCACUACUGCAGCAAGACACUAGCCAAUUAUCUAAUCAAGGAAAGAUAAACCGAGAGAAGGCAUUGCAAAAGAUGGAGCUGAAAUUAUUUGGUGAUAGUGAAAAUAUGAUGUGAGCUGAAUUAUUUGGUGACAUUCAAGGGUGAAGUCAAGGGUGAACUGAAAGGAAAAUAUGAUGUGAAUUGAAAUGAAAGUGUUCAUUUUCUGAGUUUGCAUUCAAAUCUAUUUGUGUGUCCUGUAUGAACUGAAAUGAAAGUGUCCAUUUUUAUUUAUAUAUGGCAGCACAUUUAUCUCAAGGAAGCGUACUAUUGUUUGGCUGCAAAUAUACAUGCCACACUAGAUCAUGAAACUUACUAGCAUUUAAUUGCACUGG
RNAcentral lists this unclassified non-coding RNA (1738 nucleotides) under Zea mays. Its description in RNAcentral is "misc RNA Zm00001eb431940". Lineage: Eukaryota; Viridiplantae; Streptophyta; Magnoliopsida; Poales; Poaceae. The record is from RNAcentral.